Molecule: RNA transcript, 2066 nt
Organism: Serinus canaria (Common canary)
Lineage: Eukaryota; Metazoa; Chordata; Aves; Passeriformes; Fringillidae
Gene: TRMT61B
Gene name: tRNA methyltransferase 61B
Exons: 6
Source: RefSeq, a predicted model, not a curated record
CGCGGGGCGACGGUCGCGAAGUGGAGCCGCGCCCCCUUUUCCCGCCUCCGGCCGCUCCAUGAGGGCCUGGCGCGCUCUGCGGCGGGGGGCCGCCUUCUCAUCCUCCUCCUCCUCGUCAUCCUCCUCUUCUUCCUCAUCCCCACCCUCCUCCUCUUCUUCUCCUGCCGACGGGAAGCCUCGUAGGCGGGCAUGGGAGACUUCGCUGUCACCGCUAGAGCGGGUGAGGCGGCUGCUGCCGCCCGAGGAAGCGGCGGCGGUGGCGCGGGGUGCGGCGGCGGCAGCGGCAGCCCCGCUGCAGCCUCAGGCUCCCCCUGAGGAGAAGGAGGAAGUGGCGGCGGUCGCCCCCCGUCAAGCGCUGGUUGAGGCGGCAGGUCCGCGUUCCGGCCCCUUCCGCGCCGGGGAGCUGGCGCUGGCGGAGGUACGGAGGAAGAACAACUCGACGCUGAAGCUGCUGUGCCGGCUGGCGGCGGAGGCGGUGCUGAGCAGCCCCGGUGGCCUCCUGCCCCACCGCGACAUCAUCGGGCAGCUGCCCGGGCAGGUGCUGCGCACGUCGGCCGGGAGGCGGCUGCUGCUGAGGCGGCCCUCGCUGGACGAGUACGUGCUGCUCAUGCCGCGGGGAGCCACCAUCGCCUACCCCAAGGAUAUAAGUGCUCUAUUAAUGAUGAUGGAUAUCCACCCGGGAGACACCGUGUUGGAAACUGGCAGCGGGUCUGGUGCUAUGAGCUUGUUUCUGUCAAGAGCAGUUGGGCCCAAAGGACGUGUUCUAAGUUAUGAAAUCAGAGAGGAUCAUCAUAAUUUAGCUAAGAAGAAUUACAGGCACUGGCGUUCUGCGUGGGAGAUAGGACAUGUGGAUGAGUGGCCAGAUAACGUGGAGUUCAUUCUGAAAGACAUUUCAACAGCUGCUGCAGAUCUGAAAUCCAUAACACUUGAUGCAGUAGUUCUGGAUAUGCUGAACCCUCAGUGUGCUCUGCCUGUUGUACACCCAAGCCUGAAACAAGGUGGGGUGUGCGCUGUGUACUUGGCAAACAUCACACAGGUUAUUGACCUUUUAGACAGAAUACGGAGCUGCAAGCUUCCAUUUUUGUGUGAAAGGAUAAUUGAGGUAACUCACAGGCGCUGGUCAGUACUCCCUGCUAAACUCAAGCAUUACAAAUCAAGCCAAAUGGUGGAAACUCAAGAAAAUAUUGAAGAACCACCUCAAAAUGAAUAUGAAGAAAUCCAUAUUCAGGAUGAAGCAGUUCUUAAGGAGAGCGAAUACAAUGGUAAGGACUUCACUGCUGAUGAGUUCCCCUAUUGCUGCACUUGGAUAAUCCAGUGUAGGAAGAGGCAGUGCUUUUACCUAGGUCAGCUGAGAAUAGGCAAGGGUUUGGACAGCCUAAACCUUGUCAGGUUUAAAGAAGACUAUUAGUUGUUAUUUAAGUUAAAAUAUCCUACUAAAAACCUGGGCUAAAUAAAAAAUAAAUUUCAGUCUGAAAUAAAUAAUGACUGCCCUUCUACUGCUGUUUUCAAAUUUUUGAUUUUUAAGAAAAUUCAGUUCUUUAUAGUCACCCCAAAGCUGCUUUAGAGGACCUUGAUGGACUUAAGGAUUCCUUAGGAGAAGCAGUGGCCAGUGAGCUGUUUUAAAAUUAUGCUGUUCUGGCAAAUCCAAAAAUGCUGCCAUAUGUAUAUAUUAUAUUUAUAUGACAAAUAUAAAAUUACAUAUACAGUGUAGAUUGCAAAAUGCAAAGAGUUCUGAAUAUACUGGUAGGUGAUGACAAAAAAAAAAAAAAACAUGUCAGGGGAAAAUACUACAUGAACAUUAUUUACUCUAGGCUGCAUGUAGGUCUUAAACUUGUGGGUACAAAAUAAAAAGAAAUGUCCUUCUCACAGAAUCACUCAGUGAUGCUGCUGAAACAAACCACUCAGUGCCUUACAUUGCCCGACCAUCUCACUGGCAGGAAGCUCAUUCAGCGUUCCUUACCAAGCUGAGAAAGUUUCAACCGCUGCUUUCUUGAUGCUGCUGCCUCCUUAACUGCUAAUUUGAAUAUUGUAUCAGAAUGAAAUAAAACAUAACAAAGUAGAUGCUA